RNAcentral lists this ribosomal RNA (497 nucleotides) under uncultured bacterium. Its description in RNAcentral is "partial 16S ribosomal RNA". It matches the Rfam family "Bacterial small subunit ribosomal RNA", at positions 28 to 507 of the family's 1533-position model. The record is from RNAcentral.
GAUGAACGCUGGCGGCGUGCCUAAUACAUGCAAGUCGAGCGAACGGACGAGAAGCUUGCUUCUCUGAUGUUAGCGGCGGACGGGUGAGUAACACGUGGAUAACCUACCUAUAAGACUGGGAUAACUUCGGGAAACCGGAGCUAAUACCGGAUGAUAUUUUGAACCGCAUGGUUCAAAAGUGAAAGACGGUCUUGCUGUCACUUAUAGAUGGAUCCGCGCUGCAUUAGCUAGUUGGUAAGGUAACGGCCUACCAAGGCAACGAUGCAUAGCCGACCUGAGAGGGUGAUCGGCCACACUGGAACUGGGACACGGUCCAGACUCCUACGGGAGGCAGCAGUAGGGAAUCUUCCGCAAAGGGCGAAAGCCUGACGGAGCAACGGCGCGUGAGUGAUGAAGGUCUUCGGAUCGUAAAACUCUGUUAUUAGGGAAGAACAUAUGUGUAAGUAACUGUGCACAUCUUGACGGUACCUAAUCAGAAAGCCACGGCUAACUACGUG